UACGAAGGGGGCGAGCGUUGUUCGGAUUUACUGGGCGUAAAGGGCGCGCAGGCGGCCGCUCAAGUCAGGCGUGAAAGCCCCGGGCUUAACCUGGGAACUGCGUCUGGGACUGAGUGGCUAGAGUUCGGGAGAGGAGAGUGGAAUUCCCAGUGUAGAGGUGAAAUGCUUAGAUAUGACAUAGAACACCUAUUGCGAAGGCAGCUUACUACGCAUAUAUUGACGCUGAGGCACGAAAGCGUGGGGAUCAAACAGG
This 253-nucleotide ribosomal RNA is filed under the name uncultured bacterium. Its description in RNAcentral is "partial 16S ribosomal RNA". It matches the Rfam family "Bacterial small subunit ribosomal RNA", at positions 524 to 776 of the family's 1533-position model. The record is from RNAcentral.